CGAGUCAAGACAUAUGUUCCUAUCUUGAAAGCCAGAGCCCAGAUCUCGAGUCACCCUGCAACAACAGACUAAUUAGUGUACAGUCGUCAUUCAUUGCAAUCUUAAGCCAAGAAGUCUACAAAGUUUGAUGCUGUAUGCAGAUUAAGUCCUAAAGAUAAACAUCUGAUGAUGGAUUCCACAGAGAAUGAGCGGAUGUCAGUGCUUCUGUCAAAAUACCUAGAAUUGAGAUGCACAGGGACACAGGAAGAGGUAGAUAUCAAAAGAAAGACAUAUGUUACAAUGGGGUAUUUUGGAAGUGAUGAAGUAAUAUCUACCUUUCACGGUGGAAGUACUGCAGAGGGACUUACUCUAUUGGGUUCAGAUGUAGACAUAAUGAUCAUUUUGAAGGAUGUUAUAGUUAUGUACCCUGAUCAGUGUUUUCCUCCAAAUAUGGCACACAAAACAAUUCUGUACGCAAGAGCAGCAGAUUGCCGCCCUGGCUAUGUCUUCUUACAGCUUCCUCAGUUACAAAAGAGAGUCCACUAUUUGUUAACUGAUGCACUAGUUAGAAUUGAGGAUUCAAUGUUUGUUUCCAGUGAUAUCUUCAGAGAGCACUUAGUCAGUAGCACUGGUAAACAAACAGGCCUGAAAAUUGAAUCGAAUGGACCAGCCUGUAUAGAAGAUACAUUGACCGGUGGAGAAGACGUUGUUGUGUGUUUUCCAUGUCAUAGUUGGCCAAAGGAAGCUAAUGAAUGGAUUACACGUGCACGUCUGUAUGGAUGGCCACGUCAAACCUUGAUAGACAAUAUCGUACACCAUGGAUGUCAUCUUGUCCCAGUUGGAGACAAGUGUUCGAAUUCUGAGAACACUUUUCUCCAAUGGAGAAUUUCAUUUGCAACAGCAGAGAGAUCUUUAGUUCACUCCUUUAGUCACAUCCAAUUCAAAGUGUAUACUUUGCUGAAAUAUUUUUUGAAGCAAAUAAAAGGAAUAUUAAAAGAGACCAUUGGGGAUGACGAUAUCUUGUGCUCCUAUUUUUUGAAGAUAGUCCUUUUUCAUGCCAUUGAGAAUUCCAACCAACUAUUCUGGCAAGAGAAAAACCUAUUUUAUUGUUUUUGGUUUUGCUUCAAAAUACUAAUUGCUUUCGUCAGGGCAGGUUUCUGUCCCAAUUACUUCAUCCCAGCCAACAAUUUAUUCAAGAGGAAAGUCCAUGGACAACAUCAGCAAAUUCUGUUAGAUGUUUUGAGCAACCACCAUCAGAUGAAAUGGAAGUGUCUUUCGGUAGGAAACUUCUUCAAACCUUCAAUAUGGGAAGAUCUGUGUAAUCCUUCAAUACAAGCUCAACUUGUGUGUCCCAGGACUACACAGGUCACUGCAUACAUACACGAUAGACAACGUAUGGACCAUCUGCGACAAAUAAUUGUCUCGUAUCAAGCUUCAUGGAGUGAACUAAGUGUCUUCAGGAAGGCAAUUAAUUCAUUAUCGACAUCACAGUCAGAAACAGAUGAACUUUUCUCAUUCACUUACGCUAUACAACACCUUCACGAUCUUGCAACAGAGCAGGUUUAUCCGGAGCACAUGGUUGCUACAGACAACAAGACCAGGUACAGAAGUCUAAGGAAAUGUAAACACUGGAUGAUUCGCAAAGCCUCCAUUGGAACUGAACUGCUACAUUUGGCAACUUUUCAUUUUUUGACUGGAAAUUUCUUUAAAACUCUGGAAAUGUGCAAACAAGUGAUGAAACUAGCAUCAUGUUACUUCACAAAAAGAGGUUCACAUCCAGAACAAAAGCUUAAGGCAAUGUAUAGCCAUGUGUAUCAUCAAUUUGAACAUUCCUCAGACAGGCUGAAGAAAGUGUACUCAGAAAUAUUGUCAUUUUCAAAGAAAGGCUUGUAUCUUCCUCAUCUCUGUCAGGAAAUAUUAAGAACACAGAUAAGAAUGUUUAUCCCACCACUACCCUAUGCAUUGUUCCUGUCCUUCCUGUGCUGUCAUGAACUUGGAGAUACUACAGGACGUGAUGAAGCAUUAAGGCUCCUCAUAGAGGUCCAGAGUGAUAAUGUACAAGGAGGACACCGAUCCUGGAUAGUCCACACUCUCCUGGGGAUAUGUUACCAGACACUUGGGGACAAUCACAGGGCCAUCAAGGCUUACUGGGAUUCAGCAAAAUCACAGGCUGAUUAUCAAAUAUGGAAUCCUGCGAUUGAGAGGAUAGCAGUGGUGUAUCUUUGUAUGUAUGUCUCACAGAAGUCUGAUAGAGGAUAGCUGUGGUGUAGCUAUGUAUGCAUGUCUCACAGAAGUCUGAUAGAGGAUAACUGUGGUGUAUCUAUGUAUGUAUGUCUCACAGAGGUCUGACAGAGGAUAGCUGUGGUGUACCUAUGUAUGUAUGUCUCACAGAAGUCUGAUAGAGGAUAGCUGUAGUGUAUCUAUGUAUGCAUGUCUCACAGAAGUCUGAUAGAGGAUAACUGUGGUGUAUCUAUGUAUGUAUGUCUCACAGAGGUCUGAUAGGGGACAGUUACCCCGACCUUGAACUAAGAAAAAUGUUAAACCCCUAUUCCAUAUACCUAUAUAUCCAAGAGUAUCACCAUGUCAAAUUAUAAAAAGAUUAGUCUUUGGUUCCGAAGUAACAAUUAAUCAUUACCCAUUUGGUCUAUUUUCAGUAACAGUGACCUUGACCUUUACCUAAGAAAGUAUUUAAACCCCUAUUACACAUGUACAUAUCAAAGUGCUUUAUCUUGCCAAAAUUCAAAAAGAUUGGUCAUUUGCAUUCUGGAAACUAAAGUGUGGAUGGACAGACAGAUAGACACAGUGAUUUCUAUAGGGCAUCCAGAUCGGACGCAGGCCAGGCGUUAAUAAUAUUUUCAUUCAAGUAUUUAAUUUGAUAUAUGAUACAGGUUUUCAGCUGCUGAUGAAUCCCUGCUUUAUAAUCUAUGUAUCAGAUUACACUGCUGCAGAAUUUCAGUGGCCACAGAAUCCUUGCUGUAAAAUACAGUGGAAUUUUAGCAGUUAGGAUGGGUAAUGAGAUACCUGAUCACAGAAACCGAUUUUUAAAUUCAAAAUUUGGAAUGUGGUCAACAAAAUAGCAGUUAGUUUGAAUGAAUGAGAAGACAUAAAGGCCUGCCGGAGCACAGUAAAACUUGUUUGUGUCAAACGUGCUUCAAUUGAAUACAGCAGAUGAUCUCCCCACCCUCUUUAUAUUUGUAAAUUUAGCAUUGGUGUCUUGAACAUGUACAGUCAAUUAAUGGUUGUGUUGAGUCUAUAUACAUGUUUUCCAGUCCCUAUCUUUGUUGGAAAUAACACUCAUUUAUAAAAACAACAUAUAUUCAUACAAGAGUGCAUCUCUGGCUGGUUAUCAUGAUAUUGUUAUGCUUACUGAUAUUCUCCCAUACUCGGCAAUUUUACCAUAUACAUGUAUAUAUACUCAAAUGCAUUAUUACUGUGAAUUCAUACCGCAAUAACAUUUGCUUUGGAUCCUGUACAGUGUUCAGUUGAAGACCUUAUCAUAACACAAGGACUGUGUGGUCUUCAAUCUGAUAUUGUAUUAUUAUCACUUAGAUAUUAUGUGCGGUUUAUAACCAAUAAUAUAUAUAUUACCUAUAUUGCAGACUGUAUCAAAAUUAGUACUAUGUUAUGGGAGUUACGUAUACCCCCCUUUCCCCACCCAUUCCAUACUGUGUAAAAUAAGUCAAUAUAUAAAUAUCUAAUUGUAUCUAAGUAUAUAAUUGGCGGUGAAACUUUAGACAAUGUCUAGAAGAAAUGUAUAAUCUGAAUUACUAAGCAAAUUAUUUUGUGAUCAUAUUAUUACAUAUAUCUAAGUACAUAAUUGGCGGUGAAACUUUAGAUAAUGGCUUGAAGAAAUGUAUAAUCUGAAUUACUAAGCAAAUUAUUUUGUGAUCAUAUUAUUACAUAUAAUUAUCUAUAUAUUUUAUAUACCUGCAACUUUUCUUUAUACCAAAAAAUGCAGAUUUAAUCACGAUGGAUAGACAAAUAUAUUAUUACAAAAAUCAAAUGAACUUUGAUUAAAUCUACAUGUACAAGAAAUUAAACCAUCAGUCACCAUAAGUACAUAAUUGUAUUGUAUCCAUUACUAAAUUAGUUAUGUAUAUGUAAUAUACACCAGUUGCACGAGGUCAAGAAAUGUACACUUAGGUUUCUAUUCUCUAUCUUCUUUAUGUUUGCAUUGUCUAAAAGGUUCUACGCCAAAUAUGAUACCUGCUUCUCAUGAUUAAUUAUUGAGAGUAAGCAAAAUUGUAAUUAUUUACAAUUAUAAUAUCAAUACAAUAUGUCUAUAUAUAUACCACCAAGGGUGAGGACUGAUAUAGGCUUUAAGCCUGUUGUCUAAUCCUUUUAACAUUGUAAUAUUCUUUAUGCAAAUAAAAUUUGUUGAAAUUGAAA
This 4368-nucleotide unclassified non-coding RNA is filed under the name Mizuhopecten yessoensis (Yesso scallop). RNAcentral describes it as "rho guanine nucleotide exchange factor 39-like, transcript variant X1". Lineage: Eukaryota; Metazoa; Mollusca; Bivalvia; Pectinida; Pectinidae. The record is from RNAcentral.